AGACCCCCAUGAUGCACUGGGCUCCAACUGCCCCUGAGGACACUGUACCCCCCAGGACCUUUGACACCUAGGGGUCUGAGGGGCCA
Small nucleolar RNA from Echinops telfairi (small Madagascar hedgehog), 86 nucleotides. NCBI's taxonomy places the organism in Eukaryota, Metazoa, Chordata, Mammalia, Afrosoricida, Tenrecidae. The record is from Ensembl.